RNAcentral lists this long non-coding RNA (326 nucleotides) under Nilaparvata lugens (brown planthopper). RNAcentral's name for it is "uncharacterized LOC120353053". The record is from RNAcentral. Lineage: Eukaryota; Metazoa; Arthropoda; Insecta; Hemiptera; Delphacidae.
GUAACCUCGCAUUUUUAAAGCUGUGAGUGGAAUCGUGGAUGUGAUGUGAUCGUCUAUUUUUGUUAUCUCUAUCCGUUGAAUGAUUGAAAGGUGCAGUGUGGAACAUCAAGUCUACUUCCAGUGCCCCAAAUGAAGAAAUCCAUAUAAUAAUCCAAAAUUGGUUUUGAUUCUCCAAAGACCAUGAUGGAGGUCGAGAAAAACGGAGAAAUGAUCCAGCAACCAAUCACAUGUAACUAGGCCAAGUGCCAAUAAGUAAAUUUUUAGAGAAUCUCAAACAUCCAUAAUCUUUUUUGUAAUAAUUUUACAAUAUACAAACUUUUCAUGCA